This 370-nucleotide ribosomal RNA is filed under the name uncultured organism. Its description in RNAcentral is "bacterial SSU rRNA". It matches the Rfam family "Bacterial small subunit ribosomal RNA", at positions 526 to 896 of the family's 1533-position model. The record is from RNAcentral.
CGUAGGGUGCGAGCGUUAAUCGGAAUUACUGGGCGUAAAGCGUGCGCAGGCGGUGAUGUAAGACAGGUGUGAAAUCCCCGGGCUUAACCUGGGAACUGCAUUUGUGACUGCAUCGCUGGAGUGCGGCAGAGGGGGAUGGAAUUCCGCGUGUAGCAGUGAAAUGCGUAGAUAUGCGGAGGAACACCGAUGGCGAAGGCAAUCCCCUGGGCCUGCACUGACGCUCAUGCACGAAAGCGUGGGGAGCAAACAGGAUUAGAUGCCCUGGUAGUCCACGCCCUAAACGAUGUCAACUGGUUGUUGGUCCUUCACUGGAUCAGUAACGAAGCUAACGCGUGAAGUUGACCGCCUGGGGAGUACGGCCGCAAGGUUG